GCCUACGACCAUAUCACCCAGAAUGCGCACGAUCUCGUCUGAUCUCGGAAGCUAAGCAGGGUCGAGCUUGGAUAGUUCUUGGAUGGGAGACUGCCUGGGAAUACCAGGUGUUGUAGGCU
RNAcentral lists this ribosomal RNA (119 nucleotides) under Petromyzon marinus (sea lamprey). The record is from RNAcentral. Lineage: Eukaryota; Metazoa; Chordata; Hyperoartia; Petromyzontiformes; Petromyzontidae.